GGUAAGGGGUAGAAAAAGUACUCUGUCGUGCUCGUGCUGCCACGACAGGGAUUUGAAAUGAAGAGAAUACUACGAUCGCUCCUCCCUCCACAGUCCCACUCUCAUGUACAGUACGGGGACGGGAAACACCAGACUGCUGCUGAAACUGCUGUCAUUGUAGGCGAAUGACAGCGCGCGCUCCACGUCUGUCACUCUCCAGCAUCUUUUAUCCCUAUGAAGAAGAAUUCUCACCGUCCUAAAAAGAACUAAGCAGAGGAACAAGGCAGCACACUCAGACAGAAGAUUACUUGCUGAUAACAAUCUUUUGCUCAGAAAGUGUGGAACUUUCCAUUAAAUUUCCAAUCCACACUUGUUCCUUAACCUUAAGCCCCAUCUGGCGGUCCGAUGAGAUUGCUAUUCGAACCAGAAAAUCCUGCCAGAGACAGGAGGCAGGGGGCAUGCAGGAUGGGACUUGACUGGUGGCGGUGGGGAGGUGGAGGUUGCCGUGUUGGCACACUGAAACAGCAAAGAGUGAGCAUGGGGAGAGCGGCAUACAAGUGGCCACGCCACCAGCAGAGAGGGAGUGAGUCUGGGUCCAGAAGUCUGUUUGUGAAGCUAAUGAGUGGUUAUUAACCUGAUGAGUUAUUGUGAAGCUG
This is a long non-coding RNA of Myxocyprinus asiaticus (Chinese sucker), 635 nucleotides long. RefSeq lists it as uncharacterized. The record is from RefSeq and is a predicted model, not a curated record. The transcript has 5 exons. NCBI's taxonomy places the organism in Eukaryota, Metazoa, Chordata, Actinopteri, Cypriniformes, Catostomidae.